Molecule: ribosomal RNA, 274 nt
Filed under: uncultured bacterium
Lineage: Bacteria
Description: partial 16S ribosomal RNA
Rfam family: Bacterial small subunit ribosomal RNA
Source: RNAcentral
AUACGGAGGGAGCAAGCGUUAUUCGGAAUCACUGGGCGUAAAGGACGCGUAGGCGGGUUUGUAAGUCAGGUGUGAAAUCCUACAGCUCAACUGUAGAACUGCACUUGAAACUACAGACCUAGAGUAUGGAAGGGGCAGAUGGAAUUAGUGGUGUAGGGGUAAAAUCCGUAGAUAUCACUAGGAAUACCGAAAGCGAAGGCGAUCUGCUGGGACAUUACUGACGCUGAGGCGUGAAAGCGUGGGGAGCAAACAGCAUUAGAAACCCUAGUAGUCC